GAGCGGAUGACGGGAGCUUGCUCCUUGAUUCAGCGGCGGACGGGUGAGUAAUGCCUAGGAAUCUGCCUGGUAGUGGGGGACAACGUUUCGAAAGGAACGCUAAUACCGCAUACGUCCUACGGGAGAAAGCUGGGGACCUUUGGGCCUUGCGCUAUCAGAUGAGCCUAGGUCGAAUUAGCUAGUUGGUGGGGUAAUGGCUCACCAAGGCGACGAUCCGUAACUGGUCUGAGAGGAUGAUCAGUCACACUGGAACUGAGACACGGUCCAGACUCCUACGGGAGGCAGCAGUGGGGAAUAUUGGACAAUGGGCGAAAGCCUGAUCCAGCCAUGCCGCGUGUGUGAAGAAGGUCUUCGGAUUGUAAAGCACUUUAAGUUGGGAGGAAGGGCAGUAAGUUAAUACCUUGCUGUUUUGACGUUACCGACAGAAUAAGCACCGGCUAACUCUGUG
This 448-nucleotide ribosomal RNA is filed under the name uncultured bacterium. RNAcentral describes it as "bacterial SSU rRNA". It matches the Rfam family "Bacterial small subunit ribosomal RNA", at positions 64 to 507 of the family's 1533-position model. The record is from RNAcentral.